UGCGAUUUUUUGAAUGGAAACACUAACGAAGAUUUUAAUUAAGAAUUAACACUCUGUAAGAUCGGCUGCUCAGGCAGCAAGGGAGUACUUGUAGCCCUGGAGAUGGAAAUGGGAUAAUUACUAAGGCAAAUGGAUCCGUCUGACCCAUUAUCCUUUAUUUCUUCCAGAUUCUAGAUGCUUCCCCAGCCCUUCCUUUAUGACUGUUUGACAAUGGAGCAGGAGGCCGUGGCUUUUCCCUGUAUCGGUUGAGCUCGAUCGUGUACAAUCUCCCACCCCCGGAGGUAAAAUCUCGCAGUUUCUUCAGAGUUACUACCGUGAUAUUACAACUUACGGUACGAAUGCUACUAACAAGGACAGCAGCAGCUGCAGCAGCUACAAUUAUUUACGGAACAAUUAUGCCAAGAAACAAUCACUCACCAUCAAAACAAUCCAAGAAGGACUGUGAUAUCGAUGGUGCCCAAGGUAAAGAGUUAGCCCCACAAUUGGCUGUUUAUAGAAGUGAAUCUGGCUGAAGCCAACAUGCCAAGGUCAGAAUAGCUGGCACCCAAAUUCUGUUCCCAAGACUAAAACCUUCUGACUAGAAGGACCAUGUUCGAAUUACAACCAUAUAUUUUGCCUAUUCUGUUCCUAAUUCGAGAAUGCUUUGUCCUGUCCUUCAUGAGUCUUGCUUAUGUUAAUUUCCAUAGAAACCACACGUUGCCUUUACCCCAUUGAUUGCCAAUAAAAGUCAGUGCCUGGGACUGGCCAGCGCCUUUGUCGGUUGCACUGUCAUUGGUCAUCCUGGCGCCCUGCUUUCUCUCUCUUAGUUCUGUCUUUUAGUGCAUUUUUUUCUCCUCAGGCCUGGGUCAUAUACUGAACAUGUGGGUACUGGAAC
Molecule: long non-coding RNA, 874 nt
Filed under: Fukomys damarensis (Damara mole-rat)
Lineage: Eukaryota; Metazoa; Chordata; Mammalia; Rodentia; Bathyergidae
Description: lncRNA (ENSFDAG00000027712.1)
Source: RNAcentral